UACGGGGGGGGCAAGCGUUGUUCGGAAUUACUGGGCGUAAAGGGCUCGUAGGUGGCCAACUAAGUCAUACGUGAAAUCCCUCGGCUUAACCGGGGAACUGCGUCUGAUACUGGAUGGCUUGAGGUUGGGAGAGGGAUGCGGAAUUCCAGGUGUAGCGGUGAAAUGCGUAGAUAUCAGGAGGAACACCGGUGGCGAAGGCGGGUCUCUGGGCCGAUACUGACGCUGAGGAGCGAAAGCGUGGGGAGCGAACAGG
RNAcentral lists this ribosomal RNA (253 nucleotides) under uncultured bacterium. Its description in RNAcentral is "partial 16S ribosomal RNA". It matches the Rfam family "Bacterial small subunit ribosomal RNA", at positions 524 to 776 of the family's 1533-position model. The record is from RNAcentral.